This 785-nucleotide ribosomal RNA is filed under the name Bursaphelenchus rainulfi. Its description in RNAcentral is "eukaryotic LSU rRNA". It matches the Rfam family "Eukaryotic large subunit ribosomal RNA", at positions 344 to 964 of the family's 3401-position model. Lineage: Eukaryota; Metazoa; Nematoda; Chromadorea; Rhabditida; Aphelenchoididae. The record is from RNAcentral.
ACAAGUACCGUGAGGGAAAGUUGAAAAGCACUUUGAAAAGAGAGUGCAAGAGAACGUGAAACCGGUGUAAUGGAAGCGUAUGGAGCUAGCGUAUCUGGUGCGUAUUCAGCCGUCGAGCGUUGGGAUUGCUGGGUUUGUUAUUCCGCAAGGUUGACGGCUUGGUAUUGUCUUGAUGUUUGUCGGUGCAUUUGCGUACGGAGUGCGCCGGGUUGUACGGUUGUGCUGAUCGAAGUGCGUCUAGAGGACAUGGCCUUCGGGUCGUGAAACCUGGUCGUGCAGAGGUCGGUUGCGGCUGUGCAGCUUUGUGGAGGCAUGGGUUUUUCGCGCGGGCGUUUGUCGAUUGUGUUGACCUUGAUUGUACGCGUGCGUGCGGUCUUGGUGAAUGCCGUCGGUGGGUGUUCGUGCUCUAUGCUCUUCCCGGUGUAUAGCUAGUGACCCAUUCGACCCGUCUUGAAACACGGACCAAGGAGUUUAUGGUACACGCGAGUCAUUGAGCUGUCGAAACUCAAAGGCGCAAUGAAAGUGAGACUGUCGCAGGUCUUAAUGCGAGUGGUGCGCGUCUCGACGUUCGCCACGCAGCAUUGCCCCAUUUCGAGGACUUGUCCUGGUGUGGAGGUUGAGCGUGUGCUAUGAGACCCGAAAGAUGGUGAACUAUGCCUGAACAGGAUGAAGUCAGAGGAAACUCUGAUGGAAGUCCGAAGCGGUUCUGACGUGCAAAUCGAUCGUCUGAUUUUGGUAUAGGGGCGCAAGACUAAUCGAACCAUCUAGUAGCUGGUUCCUUCCGA